GGGGUGGAUUUCUGGGCCGUUUUUCUUGUUGUCCAUACCCUCCUUUUUUCCUUCCAUUAUGUAGCAAAUAUGUAGAAAUGUGUAGAAAUUUUAGUGGAAAAAUGCACCAGUAAAAUUAAAAAGCACAAGGACUUUCUGGGCUAGCCCGAGAACUAGCCGUUCGUCAGCCGUCAACGUGGGCCCCUGACGCCUAAACGGAAUAUUCUCGUAGAUCGUUUGUGCGUGCAAGAGCCGGAGUCGGAGCGGGAGACGGGAGCACGCAUCACGCAUCAUCAUCGCCGUCGCCAUCGCCAUCGCCCGAAAGAGCUAUCUCUUAAUUGGCUUAAUCUCCGGAACGCAGCAGCUUGCUGUCGCUUGCUUGGCCAGUGAAGGCGUGAAAUGGGUGCGCGGCAGCACGUCGUAAGGAAUACGAUCAUCGCAUAACUCGCAUAUUGAGAGUCAAGGAGCAGACCAGUCCAGAGCAGACCAGACCAGACGACGAGCGAAUUUAUUUGUACGGAGACAACUCCCGAGAGAGCAAUGAGCCAAGCCAAUGAGCCAGAGCCACCGGCGACGGCCAAGCCAAAGGCGCCGAGGUGUCGCAAGCGCCGACAGCGCCGGAAGCGGCAGAUCGCCUACCUGGCCAUAUGCAGCCUGAGCGUGGCAGUGUUCGGACUCGCGCUGGCCACGCUGAUACGACCAGCAGCCGCCGCCGACGCAGACGCUGAACUUGACGCUGACGCCUCGAACGAGAGGACGGAAAAGAAAGGUGACGACAACAAUCCCCAGGUGGAAUGGCGAGCGGGCUACGCGGGGCACGGCACCACCCACGAGCAGAUGGGGGAGCUGCAUUGGGCACCGGUUGACUACACCCCCUACAAGCCUACCGUGAACUAUACACGCCCGCCCACAGCCCCGACGACUGCAAUGAAUCCGAUUUUCAACUUCACGCACAAGCUAUACGACAGCAUAAUCUCCGAUGAGCCGGCCCUGCCACCGGGGUACAUUGUGAUGCAGGGCGACUCCCUGGCGCUUGGUCCCAAGUUCCACAAUGCCGACUUUCGAGAUCUGAUAGCCCGCUAUUGGUUGGUUCUCCUCUUCAUUCUGUUCCUCUGCGUCAUCAUUGUGGUCAUGCCGUUCGUAGCCGUCUGCUAUUGCUGCCUUUGCUGCUGCCGCCGGUGCCGUCAGGGCUGUCCCCCAUGCACCAGCAAGCAGGAUGCCCAACGACGGCUGUGGUGCGGCGUUUGUCUUCUCAUCCUAAUAGUGGGACUGAUCUUUGGCAUUGUAAUUGCCUUCGUGACAAACAGGCUGCUGGACAGGGGCUUCGAUCAGGCCACCGUGACAAUGAAGCGCGGCAGCGAUGACAUUUGCUUGUUCCUGAAGGAUGUGGCCGAUCACGUUCACCACCUGAUGGUGUACAACUACGAGGAAAUGCAGACGCACAUUUCCGAUGAGCUAAGCAGUGCCCACAAGCAUAUAUUUUUGGACUUGGCGGAUACAUCGGAGAGCACCUCUUUGGGUGAGUUGGAGCGGAUAUUGCACAACAUGCCGGAGGCGAGACAGCUGAUGGAACAAGUCGCCAAAAUGGAAACGGACUUGCGGUUCUAUGGCGCCCAACUGCGAGACGGUCUUCGUGGCAUGAAGCGGGAUAUCAACUUUGCGGUGGCCAAUCUGUGCACCACUCAGGAGUGCCAGACCUUCCUAAGCUCCAGCAGCAUUGAGUUGAUAGACACCUCCAAGUGCCUGCACUUUGAUACGAUUCCCAAUGCCACGCUAUAUCUGGAAGGCUUGAACAUUGUGGUUAAGGAGAACUAUAUCAAAAUACCCACGGACGGACUCACCCGCAUGGAGAAUGUCAGCCUGAAGGUUAAGGAGCAGCUGAACUCUGUUACACCGAGCAUGAUUCGGGACCUAAACGGCGGCAGGGACACGUUCCGCUCGCACGCGAGGAGAAUACGCAACCAAGUGGAUGCAGUGCUCAGUCAGAUUCACCUGAAGACCUCACGCUCGUCCAGGUCCUUUGAUGAUGUGUACGAUAAGUUUGGCAACAAUCGCAGCGUUAUCAGCGUCAUUGUGUGCCUGCUCAUGAUAAUGAUUCUUGGCAUCUUGAUUGUAUCUUUGCUUUGCGGCUGCUUCGGUAGACGGAAGACUGGCUAUCGCGAUGACUGCUGCAGCAAGGCAACGGCUGCCAACUGCCUAUUUCUGGCCAUUUUAUUGAUAUUCUGUAUGAUCUCGUUCAUCACGCUUAUGGGACUGGUCUACUUCAUGAUCGGUCUAGUCACUUACCAGGGAGCCUGUGCCCCACUCCGAGAUGUGGAUAAGAACGGGUUGUUCAGGCAACUGGACUCUAUGGUCGAUCUGAAUCGCUAUUUGCCACGCGCCGACGAUGCAGAACCUCUGAAGGCAGCCCCACCCCUGCGCAUGUCGAAUGCGCUCAAGAUGUGCGAGGCCAAUCAGUCGGUAUUCGAUAUGCUGCGAGCAAACAGACUGUACGACAUCAACGAACUAAAGCGCAUCAAGGUGAUGUCGUCCGAGGAGGAUUCAGAUAGCACCAAAAUAUUCGACGAGGAUAUGUCUAAAACUGAGCUCCUAACAAAGGAAGAGUUUGGAAAACUUGAAGCAAUGCGUCAAGGCGGUGCGGCCAAUUACCACAGCGAACUCUUUAAGGAUCUAUGCAGUGAGUUCACGCCGGUCAAUCUGAACGCACUUGGCGAGAAAAUGUACGCGUUGUCGAACAGCUUGGAGUCACCGACGUUUGGCUGGGCCCGAGUUUCCUUCUGGAAUGAGGGCCUCAACGCCAAGUCGUACUAUCAGAACUUUAUACCCAAGCUAACGACCAUUGUCGAGAAGAUGAAGAGCAACAUGAAGCGUAUCGACGAGCUGAUCUUAUACGAGAAUCGCGACUUUAACAACAGCAUAAGACUGCUGCUGAAGGCCGUGAGAGAAUCACAAAAUUUCAUUCAGACCAAGGGCACUAGAUAUAUCAAUGAGCUGGGUAAGAACCUCACCAGCACCAUUUCGAACAUGAUCGACGAGUACAUCUCCAUGGUCAUCGACGAGUCGAAUGAGAAUGUCGGCCGCUGUGAGCCCCUUGCCUACAUUUAUCAUCAAGGCGUUGACUUGGUUUGUCGCAGCAUGGUCGAUCCCAUAAACGGAUACUGGGUGGGCGUGCUGCUCUGCGCCCUGCUCUUCCUGCCCAUACUGUACGUCUCUCACCGUCUGAUGUGCCUGUACAAGAAGGUCUAUCCAUAUAUGGCUUCUGUCGCUAGCCAUGUGGACGUCGUUUACGAGGGCGGCAGCGAACGCCUAUACGACGCUUAUAGUGAGCGCGAGCGCGAGCACGUUCCAUUGGCUAAUGUGCCAAAGAAACGGCGCAAGGCCUACGAACGACGUCGCGAGCAGCAGGAAUACUAUGAGGACGCAUCGCCCAGUGUGUCGCGUGCCACUCGCUCCGGUGGUGGUGGCGGUGGCGGUGGCGGUGGCGCUGGCGGGGAUGGAGCUCCUGGCAGCAGUAGCAUGAGGUACAACGAUAUGGCCCCCACCGCCAAAAUUGUGGCUAAAGAUACGCGGCCAAAGGCAUUGGUGGCAGAUGGCUUCUUUUAGGGACGAUCGGUUCGGUUUCUUUUUGGUAAUGUGCGGUAAUCCAACAUUCACUCAAUGUUCGUUCUGGGCGGACUCGCUUUGAGUGCGUCUCUGUGUCUGUGUGUGAAUGGACUGGACGGACUUCAGUUCCCUGGCACCCUGCUUGUUAUACGUUUUUAAUGAUUCAUUUUAAGAUAUUGUUUCUUCUUCACCCUACUAACUUUUUUAAUUUUAUUCAUGGUUCGAGUCGGGGCUAAUACUUCGUACAGAAAUACUGCAAAUGUCCAGUCUAUUGGGGGAUACUACCUGUGUGUAACCACGGGGCUCUUUCGUUGUUGUAACCUUUCCUUGUACUCUGUCGGACAUCUUCAGAGACCACCGCUUCACCGCUUAUCCUAACGCUAUCCGGAUUGUUGUUCCAAGGUCUUAAGCACUGGCCGGACUCGGUAUCGGUGCCCACAUCCGCUAUCACCGCUUUGUUGUCCCGUACCCAUCUGUUGAAGCCCCGUGUAGGGGUAACAGUAUGACUAAUUGCCUGACUCCCCUGAAUCGCUGCUGUGCGCAUUGGGACCACGAGCCACCCCGCUACCACAAUCCACCAGCUGCGCCUCCAUCCUCUGAAUACGAACGCCCACCGCCCUACUACUAUCCGGGCGCCUCCGAACAGGACUAGGCGUGAGAGCGGCUGGAAAGAGAAGAAGACACAAGGCGCCACAUGGUGUGAAUCCACAGUUGGUCGGGACAGCUUUAGAGGAGUGGCGGCGACAUGGAAGGUUACUUUUUUUUUGGAUUUGAAGUCCCUCUUCGAUUUUUCCUUCCCCCAUCCCCGUUACUGAGACUGUAUAUUUAGUUAAAAAUCGGAAACAAAAAAUAAGUGAAAUUAUAUAAUUUUAUUAAGAAUUAUCGUAUUUAGCAUCACAUGUGUUAUAGUUUUGGCCCCGCCCGACCUGAAGAGAGAUCUGCCAUUGAGCAAACCAAUACGAUUAUAAUCGGCAGAGUUAGCAGAGACGAGACAGAGACAGAGGGCCGAGGCAAAAUGAGAAGCGUUUAGAAUAGUAGUGUUCGAAGAUUAUAAGGCCAAAUAAGGAGGGAGUUAGCCGAAUUCGAUGAUGAUUGUCACAGUCGGAGCAUUUAAUCUCCCCUUACUCUGCACGAGGGCUGAGCAGCAGGCAUGAGAUCUGAUGGGCUGUUGUCUGAUGAGAGUCUGCCUGGCUGCGAGGCUGGCAGUACGUUUUAAGGAAUCUCAUAAUUGUAUUAUGCACACUGACAGGUCAGCAAGAGGUACAGUGCCCAAACACGUAUCAACCGAUUAUAACCGAUUACACUUCCGGGAAAUCAAAAGCUAGAAAAACAAAAUAUGAACUAAAAUGAAAGCUGCCAUUUUAAUUUAGAGGAGCAGAGAUAUAUAUUCAAUGCAUUUAAUGUAUUUGUUUCAGAAACAACACACAAGAACAACAACAACAACAACUGUGAAAGCAUAUGCAUGUUUUAUUCAAACUGACAGAAUAUGCACUCACGCAAUUACCAAUAAUAUAUGUAGAUUCCGAUACAGAUGCAGAUACAUAACCAUAUUAUACAGAUACAAAAAUGUAACACGUAUUUGAACACGUUGUCAUAGUUUAGUAAGAGAAAACCAAAAGCAAAAGCAAAGGUAAAAGUAAAAGUAAAAGUAAAAGCAAAACCAGCCCUAAAGCAUUUAAACGUUUCCAAUUGUAUUAGAAGCUAAUGCGAUCUGUAAGUUUCCAAAUAUAAACAAUAUACACAAAAAUA
Molecule: RNA transcript, 5331 nt
Organism: Drosophila pseudoobscura
Lineage: Eukaryota; Metazoa; Arthropoda; Insecta; Diptera; Drosophilidae
Gene name: prominin-like protein
Exons: 16
Source: RefSeq, a predicted model, not a curated record